CGAUGAACCACUUCGGUGGGGAUUAGUGGCGAACGGGUGAGUAACACGUGGGCAAUCUGCCCUGCACUCUGGGACAAGCCCUGGAAACGGGGUCUAAUACCGGAUACGAGUUCCACGGGCAUCCGUGGGACUGGAAAGCUCCGGCGGUGCAGGAUGAGCCCGCGGCCUAUCAGCUUGUUGGUGAGGUAAUGGCUCACCAAGGCGACGACGGGUAGCCGGCCUGAGAGGGCGACCGGCCACACUGGGACUGAGACACGGCCCAGACUCCUACGGGAGGCAGCAGUGGGGAAUAUUGCACAAUGGGCGAAAGCCUGAUGCAGCGACGCCGCGUGAGGGAUGACGGCCUUCGGGUUGUAAACCUCUUUCAGCAGGGAAGAAGCGAAAGUGACGGUACCUGCAGAAGAAGCGCCGGCUAACUACGUGCCAGCAGCCGCGGUAAUACGUAGGGCGCAAGCGUUGUCCGGAAUUAUUGGGCGUAAAGAGCUCGUAGGCGGCUUGUCGCGUCGGUUGUGAAAGCCCGGGGCUUAACCCCGGGUCUGCAGUCGAUACGGGCAGGCUAGAGUUCGGUAGGGGAGAUCGGAAUUCCUGGUGUAGCGGUGAAAUGCGCAGAUAUCAGGAGGAACACCGGUGGCGAAGGCGGAUCUCUGGGCCGAUACUGACGCUGAGGAGCGAAAGCGUGGGGGAGCGAACAGGAUUAGAUACCCUGGUAGUCCACGCCGUAAACGGUGGGCACUAGGUGUGGGCAACAUUCCACGUUGUCCGUGCCGCAGCUAACGCAUUAAGUGCCCCGCC
RNAcentral lists this ribosomal RNA (792 nucleotides) under Streptomyces sp. Its description in RNAcentral is "bacterial SSU rRNA". It matches the Rfam family "Bacterial small subunit ribosomal RNA", at positions 67 to 873 of the family's 1533-position model. The record is from RNAcentral. Lineage: Bacteria; Bacillati; Actinomycetota; Actinomycetes; Kitasatosporales; Streptomycetaceae.